CAGAAGAGGAGGCCGCAGAAGCGCGCGGCUCUGCGGACCCAGAUGGAGCCAGCAGCGGCCGCAGCCCGAGGGGCUGAGCAGGCCUCCCAGAGGGCGAGGGAGUUCAAGGGCCUGGGGGCCCACACAGUGCAGUCAGGCCCACGUGCCUUGUCCCAGAGCUUUGCAGACAAGAACCUGCUACCCCUGACACCCCGGCAGCUGGCAGGUAAGGGCUCAGGACUGGAAGCUGGGAGGAAAACCAGGGGGUGCUCAGAGCAGAAUGCAACCGACUUGGCUGCCCAGGGGCUGGGAAGGCUGUGAGAAGCCAAGCCAGUGAUUGUAUUGGAACCUUCUCUCCCUGCCAGUCAAACUUGCUCAUCUCUGCUACCCCAGGGUUCACUGCUGGGGGUGGGUGGGGGAGUGUGAAGAAGGGAUGGAUGGAUGGAUUGGUGGAUAGAAAGCAUUUAGAGGAGUUCCUGUCGUGGCUCAGUGAUUAACGAAUCUGACUAGGAACGAUGAGGUUAUGGGUUCGAUCCCUGUCCUUGCUCAGUGGGUCAAGGAUCCGGUAUUGCUGUGGGCUGUGGUGUAGGUUGCAGAUGUGGCUCAGAUCCAGCGCUGCUAUGGCUCUGGCAUAGGCUUGGCGGCUACAGCUCCGAUUAGACCCCUAGCCUGGGUGUGGCCCUAGAAAAGGCAAAAAGACAAAAAAAAAAAAAGAAAGAAAGAAACAAAGAAAGUAUUUAGAUAGUGGAUGGAUGGAUGGUGGAUGAAUGAACAGAAUGGAAGGAAGAAGGGAAACUGGGAGAAAGGAUGGAAAAAAAGAAUCUGAGGUCCCCACGCUGCUGGGGUUUGGGGCUGUGGGGGCUGUGAGUAGGGGUGGAAGGAAUCCCAAUGCCCUUGCCAAGAUCGUGCCCUGAUAUUGGCAGGGACCCCUCAAAGCAGAAUCAUUCUAUUCAUCAUCAGUGAUUUUCAGUACCUGCUAUGUGCCAGGCGCCAGCAGCGCUCAAGGAGCCCUCAGGCACUGUCUCCAGGGCCAGACUGCUGGCGUCCAAAGCCCAGCAUUACCCCUACUGGAGACAUGACCUUGGACAUGAGUUUUUAAUGUUUUUCAUAUAAACAUGUCCAAACGUGAGUUUUCAACACGAGAAUUGAAUGGACACGUAACAAGUGCCAACACACAGCAGCCACUGUUUUCUUUACAUUGUUAUAAUACCCAGGGGGUUGGUGGAUUCCAGUCUUGUCUCAUCCGGGCCACAGUGGGCGAAUCUCAGUGUUCCUGUGUGUGCUCUUUACCUGCUGCCUUUCCCCCUCCCGGCCCCUAGCGUUCCAGGAUGUCUUCAAACUGUUCAGCUCCAGCCCAGCAGGCACCGUGGACAUGCACAGCAUGAAAGCUGCCCUGUGCAAUGCGGGUGUCCAGCUGAGCCCACAGGAGAUGUGUGAGGCUCUGGGGCAGGCAGACUUGGAUGGUGGGUGUCCCCAUCCCUGCCCUCUUGUCCCUUCCCACCUCUAGCCCUGAAGAAUGCCUCCCUUGCCCACAAAAUCCCUGGCCUGGUCCUUUUUUUUUUUUUUUUUUUUUUUUUUUUUGGCCAGGUUGUGGCAUGCAGAAGUUCCCAGGUCAGGGAUGGAACCCAACCCAUGCCACAGCAGUGACAAGGCUGGAUUCUUAACUGCUGGGCCACCAGGGAACUCCUGCCUGAUCCUAUUUUUAAAGUUUGCUCUUCCAGGAAGCCUGCCCUGAUCAACACGCCUGUCCCCUAGCCCCUAAACAUUCCUGCUGGCAUAAUCCUCAUCCUGACUUGGGGCUCCCCCAGGGCAAGGGCUAUUUCUC
Molecule: long non-coding RNA, 1804 nt
Filed under: Sus scrofa (pig)
Lineage: Eukaryota; Metazoa; Chordata; Mammalia; Artiodactyla; Suidae
Description: lncRNA (ENSSSCG00045012931.1)
Source: RNAcentral